ACGAGGGCGAUAGCAAUAUUGCCCGAGUGGCGGACGGGUGAGUAACGCGUGAACAAUCUGCCUGUAUCAGGGGAAUAACACUAAGAAAUUGGUGCUAAUACCGCAUAAGACCACGGAGAGGCAUCUCCCCGGGGUAAAAGAAUAAUCGGAUACAGAUGAGUUCGCGUCCCAUUAGGUAGUUGGUGAGGUAACGGCCCACCAAGCCGACGAUGGGUAGCCGACCUGAGAGGGUGAUCGGCCACAUUGGAACUGAGAGACGGUCCAGACUCCUACGGGAGGCAGCAGUGGGGAAUAUUGGGCAAUGGAGGGAACUCUGACCCAGCAACGCCGCGUGAGUGAAGAAGGUUUUCGGAUUGUAAAACUCUUUAAGCGGGGACGAAGAAAGUUACUGUACCCGCAGAAUAAGCAUCGGCUAACUACGUGCCAGCAGCCGCGGUAAUACGUAGGAUGCAAGCGUUAUCCGGAAUGACUGGGCGUAAAGGGUGCGUAGGUGGUUUGUCAAGUUGGCAGCGUAAUUCCGUGGCUUAACCGCGGAACUACUGCCAAAACUGAUAGGCUUGAGUGCGGCAGGGGUAUGUGGAAUUCCUAGUGUAGCGGUGGAAUGCGUAGAUAUUAGGAGGAACACCGGUGGCGAAAGCGACAUACUGGGCCGUAACUGACACUGAAGCACGAAAGCGUGGGGAGCAAACAGGAUUAGAUACC
RNAcentral lists this ribosomal RNA (702 nucleotides) under uncultured bacterium. Its description in RNAcentral is "bacterial SSU rRNA". It matches the Rfam family "Bacterial small subunit ribosomal RNA", at positions 66 to 786 of the family's 1533-position model. The record is from RNAcentral.